RNAcentral lists this ribosomal RNA (253 nucleotides) under uncultured bacterium. RNAcentral describes it as "partial 16S ribosomal RNA". It matches the Rfam family "Bacterial small subunit ribosomal RNA", at positions 524 to 776 of the family's 1533-position model. The record is from RNAcentral.
UACGAAGGGUGCAAGCGUUAGUCGGAAUUACUGGGCGUAAAGCGUGCGUAGGUGGUUUCUUAAGUCCGUUGUGAGAGCCCUGGGCUCAACCUGGGAACUGCAGUGGAUACUGAGAGGCUAGAGUGUGUCAGAGGAUGGUGGAAUUCCCGGUGUAGCGGUGAAAUGCGUAGAGAUCGGGAGGAACAUCAGUGGCGAAGGCGGCCAUCUGGGACAACACUGACGCUGAGGCACGAAAGCGUGGGGAGCAAACAGG